CCGAGCGAUCGCGCGGUAUGUUGCCGAAAGGUAUUACCGUGAGGAAAGUCCGGGCUUCACAGAGCAAGGAUAACGGAUAACGUCCGCCGAAGGUGACUUCCGGGAAAGUGCAACAGAAAUAAACCGCCGUAUUUUUUACGGUAAGGAUGGAAAGGCGAGGUAAGAGCUCACCGAUCUCUUGGUAACAAGGGAUGCCCUGUAAACCCUAUCCGAAGCAACACCCCGUGCCGAAUGGUGUGCUCUGCCGGAUGCCGAAAGGCAUCGGGCGCGAGGUGGCAAUCUGGUUUUGUCAGAUGAGCCUUUCAGUAAUGAAUGGCAAAGAUAGAUGAUCGCUCAAGACAGAACCCGGCUUAUAGGACCGGUCG
Molecule: RNase P RNA, 365 nt
Filed under: pig gut metagenome
Description: Bacterial RNase P class A
Rfam family: Bacterial RNase P class A
About the family: Ribonuclease P (RNase P) is a ubiquitous endoribonuclease, found in archaea, bacteria and eukarya as well as chloroplasts and mitochondria. Its best characterised activity is the generation of mature 5'-ends of tRNAs by cleaving the 5'-leader elements of precursor-tRNAs.
Source: RNAcentral